UGGGAAUAUUAGGCAAUGGACGAAAGUCUGACCUAGCGACGCCGCGUGAGGGAAGAAGGCCUUCGGGUCGUAAACCUCUGUCAUUGGGGACGAAGAAAGUGACGGUACCCAAGGAGGAAGCCCCUGCUAACUACGUGCCAGCAGCCGCGGUAAUACGUAGGGGGCGAGCGUUGUCCGGAGUUACUGGGCGUAAAGGGCGUGUAGGCGGCUUGUUAAGUCAGGUGUGAAAUUUCAGGGCUCAACUCUGAAACUGCGCUUGAAACUGGCAGGCUUGAGGACAGGAGAGGGAAGUGGAAUCCCCGGUGUAGCGGUGAAAUGCGUAGAUAUCGGGGGGAAUACCAGUGGCGAAGGCGGCUUCCUGGACUGUACCUGACGCUGAGGCGCGAAAGCUAGGGGAGCAAAC
This 403-nucleotide ribosomal RNA is filed under the name uncultured bacterium. Its description in RNAcentral is "bacterial SSU rRNA". It matches the Rfam family "Bacterial small subunit ribosomal RNA", at positions 356 to 773 of the family's 1533-position model. The record is from RNAcentral.